AGAGUUUGAUCAUGGCUCAGAACGAACGCUGGCGGCGUGCUUAAUACAUGCAAGUCGAACGAGAAAGCCCGAUUUCGGUUGGGCGAGUAAAGUGGCGAACGGGUGAGUAACACGUGGACAAUCUACCUUUAAAUUUGGGAUAAUCCUUCGAAAGAGGGUCUAAUACCGAAUAAUACUAUUGAAGGGCAUCCUUUGAUGGUCAAAGGCGGGGUAACCUGUCGUUUAAAGAUGAGUCCGCGUCCCAUUAGCUUGUUGGUGAGGUAACGGCUCACCAAGGCUGCGAUGGGUAGCCGGCCUGAGAGGGCGAUCGGCCACACUGGGACUGAGAUACGGCCCAGACUCCUACGGGAGGCAGCAGUAGGGAAUAUUGCGCAAUGGACGAAAGUCUGACGCAGCAACGCCGCGUGGAUGAUGAAGCUCUUCGGAGUGUAAAAUCCUGUCAGUGGGGAAGAAACGUGUAGGUAGUAACUGACCUAUGCCUGACGGUACCCGCAGAGGAAGUCCCGGCUAACUCCGUGCCAGCAGCCGCGGUAAUACGGGGGGGACAAGCGUUGUUCGGAUUUACUGGGCGUAAAGGGCGCGUAGGCGGACUUUCAAGUUGGGUGUGAAAUCUCCGGGCUCAACCCGGAGCCUGCAUNCNAAACCGUGAGUCUUGAGUACAAGAGAGGAAAGCGGAAUUCCAGGUGUAGCGGUGAAAUGCGUAGAUNUCUGGAAGACACCGGUAGCGAAGGNGGCUUUCUGGCUUGAUACUGACNCNAANCNNGAAGGCUAGGGUANCAAACAGGAUUANAUACCCUG
This 798-nucleotide ribosomal RNA is filed under the name uncultured bacterium. RNAcentral describes it as "bacterial SSU rRNA". It matches the Rfam family "Bacterial small subunit ribosomal RNA", at positions 8 to 789 of the family's 1533-position model. The record is from RNAcentral.